CAAUUAUUGAUAAAGGUAUGUUUUUCUUCUCAGCAUACUCCUGUCUUUUCACAUUGCUGUUGCUAUGCACUUUGUCACAAGUAACUGUAAUUGGUUGUAGUUUUGCACAAUGACUCCCAGAGUGGGAAACGCCCCCUGCAAAAAUAGAAUAAAUUGAGCACUUCAAGAUAUGUAUUGCUCUUGGUAUAACGAGAGAACCAAGCAGUCGGCAACAUUCAUCUCUCCAGGGGGUGUCUAACUCGGUGUCACGGUGUGUUUGACCAAAACUUAAAUUUACGUGGGCUAUCCCUUUAAGUAAUUCAACUUUUUGAUGAUUGAGAUGCAUUGUCUAAAAUCACAUCAGUUUGGUAGCAUGCAUGUUAAAGGAAAUGGUCAGGGAACGCCAGGCUACCCUUUUGUCAC
Non-coding RNA from Xyrichtys novacula (pearly razorfish), 402 nucleotides. NCBI's taxonomy places the organism in Eukaryota, Metazoa, Chordata, Actinopteri, Labriformes, Labridae. The record is from the annotation of a GenBank genome assembly.